UCAAUAUAUAUUAAUUAUAGACAUAUAUUUCACUACAUUCAUUUCACCCACGCAUCGCGUGGGACAUUUUCUAGUACUAAAUAAAGUUGUGAUGCUUUUUCCUCUAAACACCGUGUUAUAUUUUGUAUUUUUCUUAUUUUGUUAACACCAUGUUAAUUGUUCACUAUC
This 168-nucleotide small RNA is filed under the name Arabidopsis thaliana (thale cress). RNAcentral's name for it is "ATSL223160". Lineage: Eukaryota; Viridiplantae; Streptophyta; Magnoliopsida; Brassicales; Brassicaceae. The record is from RNAcentral.